AGUGAACGCUGGCGGUAGGCCUAACACAUGCAAGUCGAACGGCAGCACAGUAAGAGCUUGCUCUUACGGGUGGCGAGUGGCGGACGGGUGAGGAAUACAUCGGAAUCUACUUUUUCGUGGGGGAUAACGUAGGGAAACUUACUCUAAUACCGCAUACGGCCUACGGGUGAAAGCAGGGGAUCUUCGGACCUUGCGCGAUUGAAUGAGCCGAUGUCGGAUUAGCUAGUUGGCGGGGUAAAGGCCCACCAAGGCGACGAUCCGUAGCUGGUCUGAGAGGAUGAUCAGCCACACUGGAACUGAGACACGGUCCAGACUCCUACGGGAGGCAGCAGUGGGGAAUAUUGGACAAUGGGCGCAAGCCUGAUCCAGCCAUACCGCGUGGGUGAAGAAGGCCUUCGGGUUGUAAAGCCCUUUUGUUGGGAAAGAAAAGCAGCAGGUUAAUACCCCGCUGUUCUGACGGUACCCAAAGAAUAAGCACCGGCUAACUUCGUG
This 492-nucleotide ribosomal RNA is filed under the name uncultured bacterium. RNAcentral describes it as "partial 16S ribosomal RNA". It matches the Rfam family "Bacterial small subunit ribosomal RNA", at positions 29 to 507 of the family's 1533-position model. The record is from RNAcentral.